Long non-coding RNA from Ornithodoros turicata, 528 nucleotides. RefSeq lists it as uncharacterized. The record is from RefSeq and is a predicted model, not a curated record. Lineage: Eukaryota; Metazoa; Arthropoda; Arachnida; Ixodida; Argasidae. The transcript has 3 exons.
CAAAGCGAGCCGGUCGGGCGGCGGGAAGGCGGGAAGGUGGUCUUGUUUGGUCAUGUUACGUCGUCCAUCUUUGGUUUGGUGUGUUUAUCGUGGUUUUCGUCAAGGUCGACAUAUCGACGACGUUCCGUUUGCGUCGUUUUGCCGUGCGUACAUGAGGCUGAUGAGGCCGCGUACGCGAUUAACACGUGAGAACUGAAAAGCAAGUGACGAAGAGGAACAGUGCCAAUUGCACAUGGAUCGAGGUCGACCCCGUAAAGAUCAUGCUACAUGGAUGGUGCUGCGACUGAGAAGAUUGUGUGUUGUGAACAAGAUUGCAUGUGCUGCAGCUCCAUGCAGAGUUGUCCUGCAGUGGCACAGGUAGACAAGGGUACAUCUGUGCAAUGUUCGCUGUGCCAGCUGAAAGCCCAGGUGCAAAGUCAGCGACACCCAAGGGUUCUCCAGCGUAUGGGUCACGUCAUGAAUUCAACAACAAGCUCAUUAUGAAAUCUAGUUUAACUGGGAUGCCAAAUAAAAAUGUGUACAACCAGA